GGAGAGGUGCCGGAGUGGUUGAACGGGUCGAUUUCGAAAAUCGUUAAGAGCAUGAUGUUCUUCAAGGGUUCAAAUCCCUUCCUCUCCG
This 88-nucleotide transfer RNA is filed under the name Blochmannia endosymbiont of Polyrhachis (Hedomyrma) turneri. Its description in RNAcentral is "tRNA-Ser (CGA) (tRNA-Ser-CGA-1-1)". It matches the Rfam family "tRNA". From Rfam's summary of the family: Transfer RNA (tRNA) molecules are approximately 80 nucleotides in length. Their secondary structure includes four short double-helical elements and three loops (D, anti-codon, and T loops). The record is from Rfam by way of RNAcentral. Lineage: Bacteria; Pseudomonadati; Pseudomonadota; Gammaproteobacteria; Enterobacterales; Enterobacteriaceae.